This 724-nucleotide ribosomal RNA is filed under the name uncultured Bacteroidota bacterium. RNAcentral describes it as "bacterial SSU rRNA". It matches the Rfam family "Bacterial small subunit ribosomal RNA", at positions 31 to 756 of the family's 1533-position model. Lineage: Bacteria; Pseudomonadati; Bacteroidota. The record is from RNAcentral.
GAACGCUACGGCAGGCUAAUACACUGCAGUCCAACGGUGUCUUCGGACAUAGUGGCGCACGGUGUGCGUAACACGUAUGCAACCUACCUUACAUUGGGGGAUAGCCUUUCGAAAGGGAGAUUAAUACCGCAUAAGACAGUAGCUGGGCAUCCAGCAGCUGUUAAAGAUUUAUCGAUGUAAGCUGGGCAUGCGUCCAAUUAGCUAGUUGGUGAGGUAACGGCUCACCAAGGCAAUGAUUGGUAGGGGAACUGAGAGGUCAAUCCCCCACACUGGCACUGAGAUACGGGCCAGACUCCUACGGGAUGGCAGCAGUAGGGAAUAUUGGGCAAUGGACGCAAGUCUGACCCAGCCAUGCCGCGUGCAGGAUGAAGGCGUUAUGCGUUGUAAACUGCUUUUAUACAGGAAGAAACGACUCUUGCGAGAGGCAUUGACGGUACUGUAUGAAUAAGCACCGGCUAACUCCGUGCCAGCAGCCGCGGUAAUACGGAGGGUGCAAGCGUUGUCCGGAUUUAUUGGGUUUAAAGGGUGCAGCACGUGGUUUAUUAAGUCAGUGGUGAAAGACGGUCGCUCAAACGAUUGCAGUGCCAUUGAAACUGGUAGACUUGAGUAAAGUAACGGUGGGCGGCAAUUGAUAGUGUAGCGGUGAAAUGCAUAGAUAUUCAUCAAGAACUCCCAAUUGCCGGUAGGCAGUUCAACUUGGCUUUACUCGACCACUCAUGCACGA